CGGGGCGUAGCGCAGAUGGUAGCGCGCAUGGUUCGGGACCAUGAGGUCGCCGGUUCAAGUCCGGCCGCUCCGACCA
Molecule: transfer RNA, 76 nt
Filed under: Clostridia bacterium
Lineage: Bacteria; Bacillati; Bacillota; Clostridia
Description: tRNA-Pro
Rfam family: tRNA
About the family: Transfer RNA (tRNA) molecules are approximately 80 nucleotides in length. Their secondary structure includes four short double-helical elements and three loops (D, anti-codon, and T loops). Further hydrogen bonds mediate the characteristic L-shaped molecular structure. tRNAs have two regions of fundamental functional importance: the anti-codon, which is responsible for specific mRNA codon recognition, and the 3' end, to which the tRNAs corresponding amino acid is attached (by aminoacyl-tRNA synthetases). tRNAs cope with the degeneracy of the genetic code in two manners: having more than one tRNA (with a specific anti-codon) for a particular amino acid; and 'wobble' base-pairing, i.e. permitting non-standard base-pairing at the 3rd anti-codon position.
Source: RNAcentral